GACGAACGCUGGCGGCGUGCUUAACACAUGCAAGUCGAACGGAAAGGCCCUGCUUUUGUGGGGUGCUCGAGUGGCGAACGGGUGAGUAACACGUGAGUAACCUGCCCUUGACUUUGGGAUAACUUCAGGAAACUGGGGCUAAUACCGGAUAGGAGCUCCUGCUGCAUGGUGGGGGUUGGAAAGUUUCGGCGGUUGGGGAUGGACUCGCGGCUUAUCAGCUUGUUGGUGGGGUAGUGGCUUACCAAGGCUUUGACGGGUAGCCGGCCUGAGAGGGUGACCGGCCACAUUGGGACUGAGAUACGGCCCAGACUCCUACGGGAGGCAGCAGUGGGGAAUAUUGCACAAUGGGCGGAAGCCUGAUGCAGCAACGCCGCGUGCGGGAUGACGGCCUUCGGGUUGUAAACCGCUUUCGCCUGUGACGAAGCGUGAGUGACGGUAAUGGGUAAAGAAGCACCGGCUAACUACGUGCCAGCAGCCGCGGUGAUACGUAGGGUGCGAGCGUUGUCCGGAUUUAUUGGGCGUAAAGGGCUCGUAGGUGGUUGAUCGCGUCGGAAGUGUAAUCUUGGGGCUUAACCCUGAGCGUGCUUUCGAUACGGGUUGACUUGAGGAAGGUAGGGGAGAAUGGAAUUCCUGGUGGAGCGGUGGAAUGCGCAGAUAUCAGGAGGAACACCAGUGGCGAAGGCGGUUCUCUGGGCCUUUCCUGACGCUGAGGAGCGAAAGCGUGGGGAGCGAACAGGCUUAGAUACCCUGGUAGUCCACGCUGUAAACGGUGGGUACUAGGUGUGGGGUCCGUUCCACGGGUUCCGUGCCGUAGCUAACGCUUUAAGUACCCCGCCUGGGGAGUACGGCCGCAAGGCUAAAACUCAAAGGAAUUGACGGGGCCCCGCACAAGCGGCGGAGCACGCGGAUUAAUUCGAUGCAACGCGUAGAACCUUACCUGGGUUUGACAUGGAUCGGGAGUGCUCAGAGAUGGGUGUGCCUCUUUUGGGGUCGGUUCACAGGUGGUGCAUGGCUGUCGUCAGCUCGUGUCGUGAGAUGUUGGGUUAAGUCCCGCAACGAGCGCAACCCUUGUUCACUGUUGCCAGCACGUUAUGGUGGGGACUCAGUGGAGACCGCCGGGGUCAACUCGGAGGAAGGUGGGGAUGACGUCAAGUCAUCAUGCCCCUUAUGUCCAGGGCUUCACGCAUGCUACAAUGGCUGGUACAGAGAGUGGCGAGCCUGUGAGGGUGAGCGAAUCUCGGAAAGCCGGUCUCAGUUCGGAUUGGGGUCUGCAACUCGACCUCAUGAAGUCGGAGUCGCUAGUAAUCGCAGAUCAGCAACGCUGCGGUGAAUACGUUCCCGGG
RNAcentral lists this ribosomal RNA (1343 nucleotides) under uncultured bacterium. Its description in RNAcentral is "16S ribosomal RNA". It matches the Rfam family "Bacterial small subunit ribosomal RNA", at positions 28 to 1378 of the family's 1533-position model. The record is from RNAcentral.